GUCGUGAGAUGUUGGGUUAAGUCCCGCAAUGAGCGCAACCCCUACUGUGUGUUGUAUCACUCACACGGGACUGCCGAGAGAAACUCGGAGGAAGGUGGGGAUGACGUCAAGUCAGCAUGGCCCUUACGUCCUGGGCUACACCCACGCUACAAUGGCCGGUACAACGGGCGGCGAAACCGCGAGGUGGAGCUAAUCCCUUAAAGCCGGUCUCAGUUCGGAUUGCAGGCUGCAACUCGCCUGCAUGAAGCCGGAGUUGCUAGUAACCGCCGGUCAGCAUACGGCGGUGAAUAUGUUCCCGGGCCUUGUACACACCGCCCGUCACGUCAUGGAAGCCGAUAACACCCGAAGCCGGUGGGCCAACCGUAAGGAGGCAGCCGUCGAAGGUGGGAUUGGUGACUGGGACGAAGUCGUAACAAGGUAGCCGUACCGGAAGGUGCGGCUGGAUCACCUCCUUUCUAGGGAGAGGGGAGUCGGAACCAUCGGUAGGGUUCCGACGCUAAUCACCCUCCCAGGUUGAUCGUCCGAUCUUCGCCGAGUGCCCGCUGGGUGGGACUCGGGUCUUCGUUUCGGCGAAGGCGAUCGUGGCGACCCAGCAACCAAUACCGAAUUUCUCGCUCGCCAACCCAAAGUUGGCUUCCUGCCACUCUUCAAGUGUCUAAGGUGCAGUCGGCGCCCGUCCCUCUCGGACGAAACCGCCGGCGUUCCCGGCGGGCGUUUAGCUCAGCUGGUUAGAGCACUGCCCUGAUAAGGCAGAGGUCUCUGGUUCGAGUCCAGAAACGCCCACCAUCAACCAAGUCGUCUCACGGGGACGUAGCUCAGUUGGAAGAGCAUCUCCUUUGCAAGGAGAGGGUCAGGAGUUCGAGUCUCCUCGUCUCCACCACUUCCAGCCCGCCACAGAUCCGGACCUGGCAGAUCGUCAAAGCGGAACGACCUACACACUGCGCCAAUUCCACAGCAACAAACUGAAUAUCGGGUAGACCCCAACAGGCUUCGUAGGAAACAGACGCUGUCUCAACAGACGGCUCGAGGGUCCUCGAGCCGUCUUGGGUGUGUCUAGGCCGGCACUCCCCUGAUGAGUGGGUUCGAGCGGGAAGCUCGAGAGCACUGACCAGCGGAACGCCACCCGCAAGACGAAGGACUACAACCGCGGUAACGCGGUGGUCGACCGGAGUUGCGCAGCAAGUCGGCAACGACUUACUGAGGUAAAGCGCUCACUGGACGGCGACUAACAACCGCCAAGUGCCUCGCAUGAGGCGCACCUUAACAAGUGAAGACGUGAUCAGAUAUUGAUCUUCAAUUUCUGCCGUGAUUUAACGACAGAGGAAAUGAUGAUCCCGGACCUUCGUUCAAUGCAACCCAUUGGGUUAGUUGUUGACGGAGGUCAAGCUACACAGUGCACGAGGUGGAUGCCUUGGCGCCAAGAGCCGAUGAAGGACGUGGUAGGCAGCGAAAUGCCUCGGGGAGCAGCGAGCAUGCUUUGAUCCGAGGAUGU
This 1492-nucleotide small RNA is filed under the name uncultured bacterium. RNAcentral's name for it is "bacterial SSU rRNA". The stretch from base 1 to 455 matches the Rfam family "Bacterial small subunit ribosomal RNA", at positions 1064 to 1533 of the family's 1533-position model. The record is from RNAcentral.